GGGUUGUGAGGUUAAGCGACUAAGCGUACACGGUGGAUGCCCUGGCAGUCAGAGGCGAUGAAGGACGUGCUAAUCUGCGAUAAGCGUCGGUAAGGUGAUAUGAACCGUUAUAACCGGCGAUUUCCGAAUGGGGAAACCCAGUGUGAUUCGUCACACUAUCAUUAACUGAAUCCAUAGGUUAAUGAGGCGAACCGGGGGAACUGAAACAUCUAAGUACCCCGAGGAAAAGAAAUCAACCGAGAUUCCCCCAGUAGCGGCGAGCGAACGGGGAGCAGCCCAGAGCCUGAAUCAGUGUGUGUGUUAGUGGAAGCGUCUGGAAAGGCGCGCGAUACAGGGUGACAGCCCCGUACACAAAAAUGCACAUGCUGUGAGCUCGAUGAGUAGGGCGGGACACGUGGUAUCCUGUCUGAAUAUGGGGGGACCAUCCUCCAAGGCUAAAUACUCCUGACUGACCGAUAGUGAACCAGUACCGUGAGGGAAAGGCGAAAAGAACCCCGGCGAGGGGAGUGAAAAAGAACCUGAAACCGUGUACGUACAAGCAGUGGGAGCACAGAGCAAUCUGUGUGACUGCGUACCUUUUGUAUAAUGGGUCAGCGACUUAUAUUCUGUAGCAAGGUUAACCGAAUAGGGGAGCCGAAGGGAAACCGAGUCUUAACUGGGCGUUAAGUUGCAGGGUAUAGACCCGAAACCCGGUGAUCUAGCCAUGGGCAGGUUGAAGGUUGGGUAACACUAACUGGAGGACCGAACCGACUAAUGUUGAAAAAUUAGCGGAUGACUUGUGGCUGGGGGUGAAAGGCCAAUCAAACCGGGAGAUAGCUGGUUCUCCCCGAAAGCUAUUUAGGUAGCGCCUCGUGAAUUCAUCUCCGGGGGUAGAGCACUGUUUCGGCAAGGGGGUCAUCCCGACUUACCAACCCGAUGCAAACUGCGAAUACCGGAGAAUGUUAUCACGGGAGACACACGGCGGGUGCUAACGUCCGUCGUGAAGAGGGAAACAACCCAGACCGCCAGCUAAGGUCCCAAAGUCAUGGUUAAGUGGGAAACGAUGUGGGAAGGCCCAGACAGCCAGGAUGUUGGCUUAGAAGCAGCCAUCAUUUAAAGAAAGCGUAAUAGCUCACUGGUCGAGUCGGCCUGCGCGGAAGAUGUAACGGGGCUAAACCAUGCACCGAAGCUGCGGCAGCGACGCUGAUGCGUUGUUGGGUAGGGGAGCGUUCUGUAAGCCUGCGAAGGUGUGCUGUGAGGCAUGCUGGAGGUAUCAGAAGUGCGAAUGCUGACAUAAGUAACGAUAAAGCGGGUGAAAAGCCCGCUCGCCGGAAGACCAAGGGUUCCUGUCCAACGUUAAUCGGGGCAGGGUGAGUCGACCCCUAAGGCGAGGCCGAAAGGCGUAGUCGAUGGGAAACAGGUUAAUAUUCCUGUACUUGGUGUUACUGCGAAGGGGGGACGGAGAAGGCUAUGUUGGCCGGGCGACGGUUGUCCCGGUUUAAGCGUGUAGGCUGGUUUUCCAGGCAAAUCCGGAAAAUCAAGGCUGAGGCGUGAUGACGAGGCACUACGGUGCUGAAGCAACAAAUGCCCUGCUUCCAGGAAAAGCCUCUAAGCAUCAGGUAACAUCAAAUCGUACCCCAAACCGACACAGGUGGUCAGGUAGAGAAUACCAAGGCGCUUGAGAGAACUCGGGUGAAGGAACUAGGCAAAAUGGUGCCGUAACUUCGGGAGAAGG
This 1714-nucleotide ribosomal RNA is filed under the name Escherichia coli. Its description in RNAcentral is "partial 23S ribosomal RNA". It matches the Rfam family "Bacterial large subunit ribosomal RNA", at positions 1 to 1746 of the family's 2925-position model. Lineage: Bacteria; Pseudomonadati; Pseudomonadota; Gammaproteobacteria; Enterobacterales; Enterobacteriaceae. The record is from RNAcentral.